ACCGAGGCUUGUAAUCUUUUGCAAAGCUAUAGAAAUAUAGUGGAGGCUAUCAGAAUGACAGGUGGUGCAUGGCUGUCGUCAGCUCGUGUCUUGAGAUGUUUGGUUAAGUCCCGUAACGAGCGCAACCCUACUCUUUAGUUAACCAGUUCUAAAGUGACUGAAUCGUAAGAUAUAGGAAGGUUGGGGCCAAGUCAAGUCAUCAUGCCCCUUAUGCCUCGGGCUGCAAACGUGCUACAAUGGUAGGUACAAUGUGUUGCAAUCUAGCAAUAGUGAGCAAAUCACCCAAAACCUAUCUCAGUCCGGAUAAAAGGCUGCAAUUCGCCUAUUUGAAGUUGGAAUCAC
RNAcentral lists this ribosomal RNA (342 nucleotides) under Candidatus Mycoplasma haematoparvum. RNAcentral's name for it is "bacterial SSU rRNA". It matches the Rfam family "Bacterial small subunit ribosomal RNA", at positions 973 to 1335 of the family's 1533-position model. Lineage: Bacteria; Bacillati; Mycoplasmatota; Mollicutes; Mycoplasmatales; Mycoplasmataceae. The record is from RNAcentral.